GUCGAACGGAGGAGGAGCUUGCUAUCGAGUGGCGAACGGGUGAGUAACGCGUGAGGACCUGCCUCAAAGAGGGGGACAACAGUUGGAAACGACUGCUAAUACCGCAUAAGUCGGCAUCGAAAAAGGAGCAACGCUUUGAGAUGGCCUCGCGUCCGAUUAGCUAGUUGGUGAGGUAAUGGCCCACCAAGGCGACGAUCGGUAGCCGGACUGAGAGGUUGAACGGCCACAUUGGGACUGAGACACGGCCCAGACUCCUACGGGAGGCAGCAGUGGGGAAUAUUGCACAAUGGGGGAAACCCUGAUGCAGCGACGCCGCGUGAGCGAAGAAGUAUUUCGGUAUGUAAAGCUCUAUCAGCAGGGAAGAUAAUGACGGUACCUGACUAAGAAGCCCCGGCUAACUACGUGCCAGCAGCCGCGGUAAUACGUAGGGGGCAAGCGUUAUCCGGAUUUACUGGGUGUAAAGGGAGCGUAGACGGCAAGGCAAGUCUGAUGUGAAAACCCAGGGCUUAACCCUGGGACUGCAUUGGAAACUGUCUGGCUCGAGUGCCGGAGAGGUAAGCGGAAUUCCUAGUGUAGCGGUGAAAUGCGUAGAUAUUAGGAAGAACACCAGUGGCGAAGGCGGCUUACUGGACGGUAACUGACGUUGAGGCUCG
RNAcentral lists this ribosomal RNA (653 nucleotides) under uncultured bacterium. RNAcentral describes it as "bacterial SSU rRNA". It matches the Rfam family "Bacterial small subunit ribosomal RNA", at positions 61 to 755 of the family's 1533-position model. The record is from RNAcentral.